CGCACCGGUGGCUAAUUGGACCGAGGCCUUAUCGCCUCAGCCGCCCGAGAGACCCUCAGGCACCGGGAGGCUGACCGGGCAGGACUCCUACUCCCAGUGAGGGAGCAGAAAUAAGAAAGAUGAAAAAGGUUGCAAAAGCCAUAAGACAAUCUUCAGCACUUUUACUAACUGCAGAGCCAUCACAACCGAAAACAGAACUGAAGUGGAAGGAACUAUGCCAUCAUUUGAUCACAUUAAAACUUUGCAGAAGGCAAAGGCAGACUAUGCAUCAUAAUCUUACUGUUUUUCUGGUGCCUAAAGUGAUAUGCAUGCUGUAGUUCUGCAUGGGAAUAAUUUUCAUCCAGAGGUGUAAACCACUUCAUUAGAAGCAUCCAGUGGGAUGAAUUAGAGGAGCUCCUGUGCUAAGUCAUCUUUUAUCUUUUUAAUCCUGAGAGAGCAAACCUUGCCCUUUGUACAGACAGCAUGUUUGGACUUGGCUUGGGAAGAAUGAGAGUUGCAGUCUCUAGCACACAGUGCAGAUAGCAGCUCCAAACAAUGUUACGUGCCUGAUUUUAAACAUCCCUACAGCAAGGCUGUGUUUGGACACCACUUACUACCAGCAGGCCACCUUGAAUUAAGUGUUUUCCUUUUAGUAAGAGAAGUUGAGACUUGAGAAAAUUGUUCGUUAGGGUGAGACUCAUGUCUUUUUCUCCUGUUUUUGGUUCAACUAUGUUCACUCUUUGUUUACAAUCCAGUUGUUGUUUGAGAUUUUGCCUCAAUUGUUUAUUUUGUAGAAGCAAGGAAUUUAUAUACUCUUGCACAUAAACACCUGCUCAUCUAUCAUUAUGCCAAAUUCAGUACUACUGUCAGCAGUUUGCAUAUGUUUUUAUGCUUGUAGCCUCUCAUAAUUUUUAUCUUCUCAGGUCUUACAUUCCCUCUCUCAGUAAGGGAUUAUCUAUUCUUCUCUAUUUCUCAGGUUUGUCAUGAGACUCUUCAGAGCUUUGUUCUUUUAAUAGAGUUCUUUCUGUCCUAGGUUCAAAAAUACUUUUAUUUUUGUUCCUAUCUGGUUUUGUGAAUUUUUUUCAUUGUUUUGAUAGCUAUGCUUGUACAGACACUUUAGUAUAUUUUUUUUUUAAGGAAAAAACCUAAAACAAAUCUGCCUUUGUCUCUCCAGUAUGCUACUUAAAAUACAUAACAGAUAUUGCAUGCUCAAGGUAAGAGUUACUUAUACCAACAUCACAACUAAAUUGCACUUUCUAAGUUUAAAAUUAGAGCAGAUACAGAGAUGUGUCUUAGGGAUUGACCCUGACCUGAGUUGGUUGAUGAAUGAGAAACAGUGAAAUGACAUCCUCUCAAUGUUCAAACUGGGAUGAAAUCCCAAACUUGGAUGGCACUUGGACCACCUCAGGCUCCAUCCCAUCCCAGAGGGGGUCUCUCCACCCCCUCUGAAGUAGCUUUCACAUUUGUUACAGAAUAAUUAAAGAUUAAUUAGGUGACAAAGGCAGACUGAAAAGGGGCAUGAAUCUGUGGCCAUGUGGUCACUGGGGAGUGACUGAAAAUAUUCUAAAUCCCAUUUAGGUACUUGGUUCAAUAACAGUUAUUGAAACAGCAUCUGGUAUCAAUUUUUAAAGUUUUAGACUUAAAGUGUUAUCAGUAGCUCUCAACUCAUGUGUUUCCUGUGAUAGAAACAUUUUUCAGCCAUAUGAUGGGAAGCAGAAGAAUCCCCUUUAGCAGGGGAAGAUGCUGAGCCCAUACCCCGAGGUGUUCAAGGCACUCUGGGUAAGUCCAGCACCCCUGAGUACUCCAGCCAUUACAUAAGCAUUUAAUCUAGUGACAGUCUAAUUAAUUACAGACCUUGAAAUGUAGAUCAAAAGAAGAUCCUUGUGACAUUAAAUCCCUUUCAUGUUCCUGCCAGCCCCUGAAUCUCAGCUGUUGAACAGGGGCUUUGGCAGCGGUGGGGAGCACUGGAGGAGGAGAACCUGUAGCAGUAUCUUGCCACACCGGAGUGUCCUACCUGCUGAUCCCUCACUGGCUCCUGGAACUCCCUGCAAGGCUGUCCCCCAGCUGUCUUGCUUGGAGCUAGUGUUAGCAGACUGGCUGCCCUUGGGAAGGGAGCUGGUUCUUAGCAGUGCUGAAAUCCUACCCUGGAACACAGGAGAACACCAGGAGGGUUAUGGUGCAGUCUGACUGGGGAUGCUGAGCACCUCAGUGCCAUCAAAAUGAGCGUGUGAUGCACAGAGCCCUUUUGAGUGAUGCCUAUCAAACGCACAGCCUGUGGCACUUGGUGGCAUUUGACUGCAAGGUAAGCUGCCUGCUAAAUGGUAUUUUCAGGCUGAGUAGAAAAUUCCUCUUUGAACGCCUACACCAAGGACCUCUGUCUUCCCUGAAUCUGGCCCAGGUUUGUACUAGUUGUAGUUUGAUUGUUACGUACCUCCUAAGGGUUACACUUUCUCUAAAGGAAUCACACACUAAUUUAAUCAGAAAAUGUAAUCUUCCAUUGCCUCAAUACAGGCAAACUCUUUUAUUAUUGUCACUGUGAACCUCCUCAAAACUGAAGCGCUUUUAAGUAGUUCAGUCUUUAAAUAUCCUCUUUUAUUCUCAUUCAAGAAAGUCUGGUUUUGAUAACAGUCAAGGAUUUUAGUUUUUUAUUUCAGAAAAAAAAAAAAAAAGGUCCAAGGAGAAAUAUGGUAGUUUUUAUUCGUUUAAUUAUGGGGGUAUUUUCUAACAUAGAACAGUGAAAUCUGGCUAACAACAUAUAAUUAAAGUAAAAUAAUUUUGUCUUUGAUUUUACUGUUUUAGUGAUUCUUGAAGUAAAAAUACACCUCUGUGUAUGAUUUUGCUCACCCACUACUUUUAAGCCUCAGUAAGAACUGCUCCUGUUGUACAAUAAUCAGCAUUUUGCCUAUAUUUUUAUGCAUGCAGUUUGUCAUCAGUUUAUGCCUCUUUAAGGCUUGGCUGCGAUUUCUUAAAAUGUCUGUUCUAGUUGUAGUGCUCAAAAAUUACUUUUUCUUCCUGAAGCUCCUUGGUAAAAGACAGAAGAAAGCAUAGUGGCAGAAGUAUUAUAAACUGAAGCAGAUGGCAUUUUGGUUUUGUAGAAUAUAAUGAGGCUUGCACAUAAAGUUAAUUGUCCUAUAACCAAGAACAUUACUUGAACUAUGAUGAAACUCAACCAGACAUUUCCAGGAAGAAGGAUUUUCACAUAAUUUUAAAAAGUGUCAGUAAGUAACAAUCAAAUAAAUAGAAUAAUUUCAGACUGGGAAGACUUGGGGAGGUCAACAAAUAAGCUAAUUCAAGGAGUUUGGCUGGCUGAUGCUUUUGAAAAUGAUGACGGUGGCUAUGUUUAAAAUUCUCAUUUAGACAGAAACUGUAAUUCCAUGUACUGAAACAUCAAGAUUAAGAGAAACAUUGAAUGGACUCAUCCCCAGUCACUUCCUUUGGGAGCUGUCAGUAGCAGGAUUAAAUCAGAAUUGACAAAUAUAUCAAAUGGUCAUUUGAGAAGAGAUUUGUUCAUUUAAGUUGAAAUAAGCUUUAUCAAUAAAAAAAUGUAAAUGUCUUUUCAGAUCAAAAGGUAGUUUGAGUAAGGUGUUUUUAAUGAUCUCUAGCAUAGUGUCAAGACUAUUCUAUUUGAAUGGAGAAAAGUGCUUAUGGUUCAUUUUGGAGAAGAAAUAAAAUAUGUGCUACUGUGACAGACUAAACAGUGGUGGUAAACUUAUUACUUACCGUAAUUUGCUGUAAUUUUGGGAAGAAAAAAAUGGUGUUAGAUCUGAGCACUUCUGAACAGGCAUCAGAGAAUAUUAAUAUAUACUACAGAAACAAAAUUAGUGUCUUUGAUGUAAAACAAAAAGCAUGCAAGAUCCCCCUUGCUUGUUUUUACUUUUUUUUUUGUGUUUUUACUAGUCUCUGGACUGUCUUACCUCUUUCAGUCUUUCCCAUUUUUUUUUCUGUCAACAUAUUCUUGGAUUAUAACUCUUUGCCAUGGUAUAUAUUUAAAAUGUUGAAUUUUUUUUAUUCAUUCAUUGAGUGUGUGUUACUAAAUUUUAUGCAACAUAUACUGUGAACUUUAUAUAAUAUACAGAAAGAAUUGUCAGCCAUAAGUCUUGCAUGUGCAAGGGGACAAAGUGUUCAUAUCUGAUUAUGCUGCCUUUCAUCAGUAUUAGUGGAACUCUUACUAUAACCCAGUAGUGUGUAGUCUGCAUAUGCAGAUGGCUCUUGAUUCACUACAAAAUAAUUGUUUACAACAAACCUUUCUGCUUGGUUUUGCUUAAACUACAAGUGGUCAUGUUUAUGUUUUUUCAAAUACUCAGGAGUGGUUUUUCAUUUUCUCAAUACAGAAAAUAGCACUGAGUAGUAAUGAUCUAAUUCAGAAAGAGGAAAUCUCUAGUGCAUAUGAGAUGUAAAGUAGUAUUUGGAAGAUAAAUACAUGAUCUGGAACCUAUACAGGGCGAAGAGGGGAGUUAUCACAGGUAUGAUUACAGAUUUUUGAAAGAUAAUAUACUUUUACCAAGGAAAUGCUGUUGAACUAGACUAUCAAAGUUAAACUAUGACACCAACAGAGGAGAGCCAGCAGACUCCAUCUGGUCCUCCAGUGUCUGUGGGAGACUUUGCUUCCUUAAUCUCAAAGCACAGAUUUUGGCUGUAGCCAUAUAGGAUAUUUGUUGUUUCUUUCUCCAACAGUUCAUCCAAUGUAUUUUCUGCCAGCCUGGACAUUGUGUAAUCACAUCGUCUAGGCCCUUGUUUUACUGUAACUUCAGCUGAAUGAACUUUAUGCCUUUCAAAGGAAAUCUGUCAUUGCUUUUUGUUUCACUUCCCCCAUUCCUGCUCCCACUGUUGAAGGAAACCUCUGCAUGAUGGAGAUCGAAUCUUCUGUAUGAUUGAAGCAGAGCUCACAGCCUGGCAGACAGCAGCAGCAGAAGAACGCAUGGAGGUGAAGGUGUGCUAUGGAGAAACAAACAGGCAGCAAGACAAUUGAGGGAUCGUCUUAACAAUGUUUGCUUCUAUGGAUCAUUGAAGUGGGAAGCUCACUGCUGGUACCUGAUUAGGCUCCCUUCAGGUACUGGAAGGACACAAUUAAGUCACCUUUCAUCUUCAGGCUGAAUAUUCCCAAUUCUCUCAGCUCUUCCUCAUAGGAAAGAAGCUCCAUCUCUUCAACCAUCUUUGUGUUACUCUGAACUGGCUCCAGCAGCUCUAUGUCCUUCCUGUGCAGGGACCCCAGCUCUGGAUGCUCCAGCUGGGUCUCA
This is a non-coding RNA of Cyanistes caeruleus (blue tit), 5216 nucleotides long. The record is from RefSeq and is a predicted model, not a curated record. Lineage: Eukaryota; Metazoa; Chordata; Aves; Passeriformes; Paridae.